RNAcentral lists this ribosomal RNA (232 nucleotides) under uncultured bacterium. RNAcentral describes it as "partial 16S ribosomal RNA". It matches the Rfam family "Bacterial small subunit ribosomal RNA", at positions 118 to 351 of the family's 1533-position model. The record is from RNAcentral.
UGGGCAAUCUGCCCUUCACUCUGGGACAAGCCCUGGAAACGGGGUCUAAUACCGGAUAACACUCUGUCCCGCAUGGGACGGGGUUAAAAGCUCCGGCGGUGAAGGAUGAGCCCGCGGCCUAUCAGCUUGUUGGUGGGGUAAUGGCCUACCAAGGCGACGACGGGUAGCCGGCCUGAGAGGGCGACCGGCCACACUGGGACUGAGACACGGCCCAGACUCCUACGGGAGGCAG